This 253-nucleotide ribosomal RNA is filed under the name uncultured bacterium. RNAcentral's name for it is "partial 16S ribosomal RNA". It matches the Rfam family "Bacterial small subunit ribosomal RNA", at positions 524 to 776 of the family's 1533-position model. The record is from RNAcentral.
UACGAAGGGGGCUAGCGUUGUUCGGAAUUACUGGGCGUAAAGCGCACGUAGGCGGAUUGUUAAGUCGGGGGUGAAAUCCCGGGGCUCAACCCCGGAACUGCCUUCGAUACUGGCAAUCUAGAGUCCGGAAGAGGUGAGUGGAAUUCCGAGUGUAGAGGUGAAAUUCAUAGAUAUUCGGAGGAACACCAGUGGCGAAGGCGGCUCACUGGUCCGGUACUGACGCUGAGGUGAGAAAGCGUGGGGAGCAAACAGG